GUGUCAGCCGCCGCGGUAAAACGUAGGAGGCAAGCGUUAUCCGGAUUUACUGGGCGUAAAGGGCGUGCAGGUGGUUUCGUAAGUGGUGCGUGAAAGCGCCCGGCUCAACCGGGCGAGGCCGUGCCAAACUGCGAGACUGGAAACAGGCAGAGGAAAGUGGAAUUCGGGGUGUAGUGGUGAAAUGCGUAGAGAUCCCGAGGAACUCCAGUGGCGAAGGCGACUUUCUGGGCCUGCUUUGACACUCAGACGCGAAAGCAUGGGGAGCGAACGGGAUUAGAUACCCCCGUAGUCC
This 292-nucleotide ribosomal RNA is filed under the name uncultured bacterium. RNAcentral describes it as "partial 16S ribosomal RNA". It matches the Rfam family "Bacterial small subunit ribosomal RNA", at positions 505 to 796 of the family's 1533-position model. The record is from RNAcentral.